This 484-nucleotide ribosomal RNA is filed under the name uncultured bacterium. RNAcentral's name for it is "partial 16S ribosomal RNA". It matches the Rfam family "Bacterial small subunit ribosomal RNA", at positions 28 to 507 of the family's 1533-position model. The record is from RNAcentral.
GAUUAACGCUAGCGGCAGGCAUAAUACAUGCAAGUUGAACGGCAGCACAGGUAGCAAUACUGGGUGGCGAGUGGCGCACGGGUGCGUAACACGUAUGCAACCUACCCUAUACAGGCGAAUAACCUUUAGAAAUGAGGGCUAAUACGCCGUAGUAUUACAGAUGGGCAUCUAUUUGUAAUUAAAGAUUUAUCGGUAUAGGAUGGGCAUGCGUCCCAUUAGUUAGUUGGUAAGGUAACGGCUUACCAAGACGAUGAUGGGUAGGGGAUCUGAGAGGACUUACCCCCACACGGGGACUGAGACACGGACCAGACUCCUACGGGAGGCAGCAGUAAGGAAUAUUGGGCAAUGGCCGCGAGGCUGACCCAGCCAUGCCGCGUGCAGGAAGACGGCCUUAUGGGUUGUAAACUGCUUUUAUACGGGAAUAAUAGAGUGUACGCGUACAUUUAUGCAAGUAUCGUAUGAAUAAGCAUCGGCUAACUCCGUG